CAUGGCCGCCCCCCUCUUCCCAUCCUCUUAUCCAUCCACAAAUCCACAAAUAGCCACAAUCGAGGGUUUUCUCCUCCCACGCCUCACCAUUCGCCGUGCACUUCCCGCCGCUGCUCCCUUCCUGCCGCUGCACCUCCCCCGUUGAGAUGCCCAAGUGCACCAUGGGAGGGAGGGCCGACGUCAGGGCCGACGCCAUGGCGUCCGAAGCAUCCAAGCCCCGUGCGAAGCUAGACAUGGAGAAACUCGUCCCCGUCGGCGAGGGGUCGAGCAGGCAGCAGGGUGGCCUUGACGUCGUCGAAGACGUCCAGGCUCUUCCGCCAGAGCAGGUGGCUCCUUCGCCGGAGCGUGUGGCACCUACGCCGGAGCAGGUGGCUCCUUCGCCGGAGCAGGUGUCUCCCCUGCCACGCCAUUUGCCUCCUUUCUCGUAGCCCGUGGUUGAUGGCAACGACGACGGAGAAUAGGUAGCUUCUAUGGCUUCUCUGCGGGAGCAGGUGGUGGCUCCUCAGCCUUAGCCGGGUGCUCAUGUGCCGUGGGUGUGACGCUUACUCAAACAUGCCCUUGAUUCGUACUAACUGACAAUGUCGACAAUGACCCAGAAACCCAGAGGAUCUACAAGAGGCACAAGGGGAGGGAGCUGGACAAUGGAUUGCACGAUAAACGUGUGAGGCCUAGAAUUGGAAAGGGGGGGCUACGGAUGCCCUUUCAGCAACAAGUUGAUGAAAGGCAGCCUGACGAGUGCCAUUCAGCAUGCACUCAGAACAUCUCGUGGCUCCCUUAAGAAUGGCUACGCUUUCAGGGUGGCGCAUGCCGCGUACGCCAAGUACUUGACGAGGCUUUAGGGAAGUGUGCACCCUCGUAGCUAGAUCUGAUGCUCUUUUGGUUUUAGCCAUGCUAUUCUAUGUUGGUGAACGUUUAUGGUUGAACUAUGUGCACCAGUACUGCUAAGUGUUGUUUGGUUUUGUAUAUAUGGAAGCGUUGAACUAAGCUUAGAAUGGAAGUUCUUUUGGUAUGAA
Hordeum vulgare subsp. vulgare (domesticated barley) is the source of this 1013-nucleotide long non-coding RNA. RefSeq lists it as uncharacterized. NCBI's taxonomy places the organism in Eukaryota, Viridiplantae, Streptophyta, Magnoliopsida, Poales, Poaceae. The record is from RefSeq and is a predicted model, not a curated record. The transcript has 3 exons.